UGAGUGAGUGAGUGAGUGAGUGAGUGAGUGAGUGAGUGAGUGAGUGUGUGUGUGUGUGUGUGUGUUUGUGUGUGUGUGUGUGUGUCAUGUGGGAAGUAAACAAUCCCGUGGAGAAGCCCAGGGAGCAUGGGGCUUCAGAGAGGGAGCCAGAAGAGGCUCCUGAAGAGAAGUGUGCCGACGAUGGGGAAGCACGGGACAGAAGAAGAUCAGAACAGCCUGUGGAGACGGCAGAGGCACUACGAAUGAAGGAAAGAGGAGCAAGCCCAUGGCGACACACAGGAUAGCAGGAGGAGCAACAUGGUCCAUCCAGCCGGAAAGGAGGAGUAAGGAUGGGGUGUAGGGGUGGCGGAGCCCCGUAAGAGACCAUCGAGCAGAGCGCACCCGACCGAGUGACCCCGAGGAGGCAGCCCCCACUGGGAAUAUUCAAAGUCGUGGCAGACGAGACACGGGCGGUCUGCCUCGGGAGAGAACAGCUACUUGAGCAGCAACCAGAGCGGACAAGGAGAACAUCACCCACCAUACGUGGGAAAGCCGCUCAAGACUGGGUGUUUGAGUCCCGUUGGUCACAACAUACAUAUAGAUGAAUGUGUAUAAUAUGACUGCUCUUGGAAGAGCUGAGGACCACAGUUGAUGAGACCCACCAUUACAGUCCCUGAUCCUCCAAAUUAAGACCUUAAAAUCUAUUUCCUCCUAAAUAACAUGGCAAUUGAAUCAA
This is a long non-coding RNA of Alligator mississippiensis (American alligator), 715 nucleotides long. RefSeq lists it as uncharacterized. Lineage: Eukaryota; Metazoa; Chordata; Crocodylia; Alligatoridae. The transcript has 2 exons. The record is from RefSeq and is a predicted model, not a curated record.